This 371-nucleotide ribosomal RNA is filed under the name uncultured bacterium. RNAcentral describes it as "bacterial SSU rRNA". It matches the Rfam family "Bacterial small subunit ribosomal RNA", at positions 527 to 896 of the family's 1533-position model. The record is from RNAcentral.
GUAGGUGGCAAGCGUUAUCCGGAAUUAUUGGGCGUAAAGCGCGCGUAGGCGGUUUCUUAAGUCUGAUGUGAAAGCCCCCGGCUCAACCGGGGAGGGUCAUUGGAAACUGGGGAACUUGAGUACAGAAGAGGAGAGUGGAAUUCCAUGUGUAGCGGUGAAAUGCGCAGAGAUAUGGAGGAACACCAGUGGCGAAGGCGGCUCUCUGGUCUGAAACUGACGCUGAGGUGCGAAAGCGUGGGGAUCAAACAGGAUUAGAUACCCUGGUAGUCCACGCUGUAAACGAUGAGUGCUAAGUGUUAGGGGGUUUCCGCCCCUUAGUGCUGCAGUAAACGCAUUAAGCACUCCGCCUGGGGAGUACGGCCGCAAGGUUG